Long non-coding RNA from Numida meleagris (helmeted guineafowl), 1539 nucleotides. RefSeq lists it as uncharacterized. The record is from RefSeq and is a predicted model, not a curated record. The transcript has 3 exons. NCBI's taxonomy places the organism in Eukaryota, Metazoa, Chordata, Aves, Galliformes, Numididae.
AUCACGUGCGCAGAGACAGGCUGCAACCGCAGCUUCCAUCUCCCCUGCGCCUCACAGGGUGAAUGUGUCACCCAGUACUUGGAAGAGUACAGGUCCUUCUGCUGGGAGCACCGCCCGCAGCAGGCAGUGGAGGCGGUGCCAGCGCAGGACACGACCUGCAUCAUCUGCCUGGACCCCGUGGGGGACAGCAGGUCAUUCAGCACCAUUGUGUGCCCAUCCUGCCAACACGCCUGGUUCCACCGGGCCUGCAUCCAGGUAGGAGCCCUCCCCUCACCCCGCGGGCAUGGCAGGCGCUCAGCAGCACCAGGCCCUGCUCACGCUCACGCUGCUUCUUUUUCUGCUGCAGGGACAGGCCCUGAGCGCUGGGCUUCGUUGCUUCCAGUGCCCCCUGUGUAGAAACAGGGACCAGUUUUUAGGAGAAAUGUUCAGCAUGGGGAUCCGAAUCCCAGACAGAAGUCCAAUGUGGGAGGAGAGCAAUGCCUAUGCAUCUCUGGGAGUAAGGCACAGGCGGUGCGAUAUCAGUGAUUGCUGUUACCCACGUGGCAGGGAGCAGGCAGAAGAAGAGGGGUGAGUUACCUCAGCAGCCCUCUGGGGCUCUGCUUGGGAUCACAGCCUCACCACAGGCGGGGGAGCAUGGAUGGAGCACCAGAGCUGUGCCGGGCACUCCCUGGCUCACAUCACUUUGUCUUCAUGGCCGCAACCCAUUUGUUUCCCCAGACCCUGGGAGCUGCUCCUCUGCAGCUCCUGCGCUGCACAAGGCACUCACCGACUCUGCUCCAACUUGAGUCAGAGCACGACCUGGGAGUGCAACGGCUGUGCUGGAGAGGGCACUGGUAAGAGGCAAAAGUCCCUUUGGCCCAGGAGGGAUGGGAGCCUGUCCCACCCCAGGGCUGGAUUUUCAUACCUCUCACUUUCCUGCGUUCCCUUGUAGCCCCCUUCACCAGCUAGGAUCUCACCAGCCAUAGCAGCACCAUCCAGCAGGGACUGGGGCCAUCCCAAGGCUCUGCAGCACCAGAGAGCAGCAGCUCCCACACCACCAGCCAGGCACCAUCAGGCCCAGCUCACAGUUCCCGUGUGCCUGAGAACAAUGGCCUGUCCAGCCAACACAAGACAGACUGGAGGAGAAUACACUCACGUAUAUACCGGGAUGGGAAUAACUGGAAUCAGCCCCGAGGAUGCCAUGGGAGCAGCCAUGCUGCAGCCUCAAGUGCUGAGAGCAGUGCCCUGAACUUAGCCAGCCGAUGGACAUCAGAGUUCUCAAGGCACUCCCGAGCAGUUGACCACAGCCACCAGUCCAGACAGGAAGGACAGUCCCAGACACAAAGCCGCUUCGUUGUAGAGGCAGAUGGCAGAUUUUCCGAGCUGGCCCCAAAAAUGCCAUGGGAGCAGGCGAACACCAGCCCCAAGUGCUGGGCCCAGAGCUACACCCAACGGGGAGUACCGGGAUCCUCGAGGGAUUCCAGAUCAGCUGAUGGAAUCCGGUCCAGGCAGCCAGGGUGGACCCGAACUUGAAGCCAUACCCCUCUUGAACAUCUUCAA